GAAGUCCGCCAGGCAGCCGCUGUGCGCAUCGUGCGCAUGGAGGAAAGUCCGGGCCCCAAAGAGCAGGAUGCCGGCUAACGGCCGGGCGCAGCAAGUCGAAAGACCCAAGGCGACGGAAAGUGGCACAGAAAACACACCGCCGAUGGCCCCGCAAGGGGAUCAGGCAAGGGUGAAAUGGCGGGGUAAGAGCCCACCGCAGACCGUGGCAACACGGCUGGCACGCUAAACCCCAUCCGGGGCAAGGCCAAAUAGGGAAGCCAUGGCGCUGCUCGCGCCGCUUCCGGGUAGGCUGCUAGAGCGCCGCGGCAACGCGUCGCCCAGAGGAAUGGCUGCCGGGCAGCUUCGGCUGCCGCACAGAACCCGGCUUAUCGGCGGACUUCCAAU
This 384-nucleotide RNase P RNA is filed under the name Burkholderiales bacterium. Its description in RNAcentral is "RNase P RNA component class A". It matches the Rfam family "Bacterial RNase P class A". From Rfam's summary of the family: Ribonuclease P (RNase P) is a ubiquitous endoribonuclease, found in archaea, bacteria and eukarya as well as chloroplasts and mitochondria. RNAcentral also lists the same sequence under 2 other names. Lineage: Bacteria; Pseudomonadati; Pseudomonadota; Betaproteobacteria; Burkholderiales. The record is from RNAcentral.